UGGGGAAUAUUGCACAAUGGGCGCAAGCCUGAUGCAGCCAUGCCGCGUGUGUGAAGAAGGCCUUCGGGUUGUAAAGCACUUUCAGCGAGGAGGAAGGUGGUGGACUUAAUACGUUCAUCAAUUGACGUUACUCGCAGAAGAAGCACCGGCUAACUCCGUGCCAGCAGCCGCGGUAAUACGGAGGGUGCAAGCGUUAAUCGGAAUUACUGGGCGUAAAGCGCACGCAGGCGGUUUGUUAAGUCAGAUGUGAAAUCCCCGGGCUCAACCUGGGAACUGCAUUUGAAACUGGCAAGCUAGAGUCUCGUAGAGGGGGGCUAGAAUUCCAGGUGUAGCGGUGAAAUGCGUAGAGAUCUGGAGGAAUACCGGUGGCGAAGGCGGCCCCCUGGACGAAGACUGACGCUCAGGUGCGAAAGCGUGGGGCAGCAAACAGAUUAGAUACCCUGGUAGUCCAGCGCUGUAAAC
This 462-nucleotide ribosomal RNA is filed under the name uncultured bacterium. Its description in RNAcentral is "partial 16S ribosomal RNA". It matches the Rfam family "Bacterial small subunit ribosomal RNA", at positions 355 to 807 of the family's 1533-position model. The record is from RNAcentral.